CCCUUAGAUGUUCUGGGCUGCACGCGCGCUACACUGAAGCUAUCAACACGUUUUCCCUCCCUGAGAAGGGCGGGUAACCUUUUGAAUCAGCUUCGUGGUAGGGAUCGGGGCUUGCAAUUGUUCCCCGUGAACCAGGAAUUCCUAGUAGACGCGAGUCAUAAGCUCGCAUCGAUUAGGUCCCUGCCCUUUGUACACACCGCCCGUCGCUACUACCGAUUGAACGUUUUAGUGAGGCAUUUGGACCGACGCAUCUCAGUUUAACCGCUGGUUUGUGUUGGAAAGACUUCCAAACUUGAGCGUUUAGAGGAAGUAAAAGUCGUAACA
RNAcentral lists this ribosomal RNA (324 nucleotides) under uncultured eukaryote. RNAcentral's name for it is "partial 18S ribosomal RNA". It matches the Rfam family "Eukaryotic small subunit ribosomal RNA", at positions 1470 to 1796 of the family's 1831-position model. The record is from RNAcentral.